RNAcentral lists this ribosomal RNA (450 nucleotides) under Prevotella sp. oral taxon G70. RNAcentral's name for it is "bacterial SSU rRNA". It matches the Rfam family "Bacterial small subunit ribosomal RNA", at positions 28 to 466 of the family's 1533-position model. The record is from RNAcentral. Lineage: Bacteria; Pseudomonadati; Bacteroidota; Bacteroidia; Bacteroidales; Prevotellaceae.
GAUGAACGCUGGCUACAGGCUUAACACAUGCAAGUCGAGGGGAAACGGCAUUGAGUGCUUGCACUGAAUGGACGUCGACCGGCGCACGGGUGAGUAACGCGUAUCCAACCUUCCCGUUACUGCGGGAUAACCUGCCGAAAGGCAGACUAAUACCGCAUGUUCUUCGAUGACGGCAUCAGAUUCGAAGCAAAGACUCGUCGGUAACGGAGGGGGAUGCGUCUGAUUAGCUUGUUGGCGGGGCGACGGCCCACCAAGGCGACGAUCAGUAGGGGUUCUGAGAGGAAGGUCCCCCACAUUGGAACUGAGACACGGUCCAAACUCCUACGGGAGGCAGCAGUGAGGAAUAUUGGUCAAUGGGCGGAAGCCUGAACCAGCCAAGUAGCGUGCAGGAGGACGGCCCUACGGGUUGUAAACUGCUUUUAUGCGGGGAUAAAGUGAGGGACGCGUCCC